UAACAUAAUAAGUCCUACCUGCCCAGUGAUUUUUUCAACGGCCAUCUCUGAUGAUAACGUAGCAUAAUCAAUUGUCUAUUAAUUUUAGACUAGAAUGAAUGGAUUAACGAAAGCCAAACUGUCUCCUAAUUUUAAUCAAUGAAAUUAUCCUUUCUGUUCAAAGACAGAAAUUUUCUUAUAAGACGAAAAGACCCUAAAAGCUUCAAACAUUAAAUUAACCUAUCUAUAAAAGCAAAUAAAGAAAAAUACUAAUUUUAAAAAUUUGGUUGGGGCAACCAUUGAAUAAAACUAUCAUCAAUAAUUAAACGAAAAAUUUUCUUAAAACAAAGUAACAACUUAAUUAAAUAAGAAACUUAUUAAAAUGACCCAGAAUCUUCUGAUCAAUGAACAAGUUACUUUAGGGAUAACAGCGCUAUUUCUUUUUAAAGUUCACAUCGACAAAGAAGCUUACGACCUCGAUGUUGGAUUAAGAUACCCAAGUGGUGCAAAAGCUACUAAUGGUUCGUUUGUUCAACGAAUAAUAUCUUACGUGAUCUAGUUUCAAAAC
Molecule: ribosomal RNA, 547 nt
Filed under: Eptatretus burgeri (inshore hagfish)
Lineage: Eukaryota; Metazoa; Chordata; Myxini; Myxiniformes; Myxinidae
Description: partial 16S ribosomal RNA
Rfam family: Bacterial large subunit ribosomal RNA
Source: RNAcentral